GGGUCGUUAGCUCAGUUGGUAGAGCACCGGGCUUUUAACCCGUUGGUCGUGAGUUCGAGCCUCACACGACCCACCA
This 76-nucleotide transfer RNA is filed under the name Gammaproteobacteria bacterium. Its description in RNAcentral is "tRNA-Lys". It matches the Rfam family "tRNA". Rfam says of the family: Transfer RNA (tRNA) molecules are approximately 80 nucleotides in length. Their secondary structure includes four short double-helical elements and three loops (D, anti-codon, and T loops). Lineage: Bacteria; Pseudomonadati; Pseudomonadota; Gammaproteobacteria. RNAcentral also lists the same sequence under 3 other names. The record is from RNAcentral.